UCCCUACUGGCUCAGACAGUAAAGCAUCUGCCUGCAAAACAGGAAACCUGGGUUCAAUCCCUGGGUUGGGAA
This 72-nucleotide transfer RNA is filed under the name Bos taurus (domestic cattle). It matches the Rfam family "tRNA". From Rfam's summary of the family: Transfer RNA (tRNA) molecules are approximately 80 nucleotides in length. Their secondary structure includes four short double-helical elements and three loops (D, anti-codon, and T loops). The record is from Rfam by way of RNAcentral. Lineage: Eukaryota; Metazoa; Chordata; Mammalia; Artiodactyla; Bovidae. RNAcentral also lists the same sequence under 5 other names.